This 83-nucleotide transfer RNA is filed under the name Phycisphaerales bacterium. Its description in RNAcentral is "tRNA-Leu". It matches the Rfam family "tRNA". From Rfam's summary of the family: Transfer RNA (tRNA) molecules are approximately 80 nucleotides in length. Their secondary structure includes four short double-helical elements and three loops (D, anti-codon, and T loops). The record is from RNAcentral. Lineage: Bacteria; Pseudomonadati; Planctomycetota; Phycisphaerae; Phycisphaerales.
GCGGAUGUGGCGGAAUUGGCAGACGCGCAGGCUUCAGGUGCCUGUGGGCUUAUGCCGUGGAGGUUCGACUCCUCUCAUCCGCA